This 158-nucleotide ribosomal RNA is filed under the name Phyllachora sp. XL-2017e. Its description in RNAcentral is "5.8S ribosomal RNA". It matches the Rfam family "5.8S ribosomal RNA". Rfam says of the family: 5.8S ribosomal RNA (5.8S rRNA) is a component of the large subunit of the eukaryotic ribosome. It is transcribed by RNA polymerase I as part of the 45S precursor that also contains 18S and 28S rRNA. Lineage: Eukaryota; Fungi; Ascomycota; Sordariomycetes; Phyllachorales; Phyllachoraceae. The record is from RNAcentral.
AAACUUUCAACAACGGAUCUCUUGGCUCUGGCAUCGAUGAAGAACGCAGCGAAAUGCGAUACAUAAUGUGAAUUGCAGAAUCCAGUGAAUCAUUGAAUCUUUGAACGCACAUUGCGCCCGCUAGUAUCCUAGCAGGCAUGCCUAUUCGAGCGUCUUUU